CUGGACAGAGACCCUCAGACACACAGGUGCUUGGGUAGGAAGCCAUCAGUGCCCCCAAAAAUUGUCCAGCAAAGACACAGAUGAGGUUGGGGCUAGGCUGAGUGCCUUUGGGCAUGUGUUGACAUACAGCUUUUUUGGGUUUUAUUUCAGGUGAAAUGAACUCUUAGGAAACCACUGAUGGAUUCAUCAAGAAGCCCUAAACCUUGGAAAAGCCAAGAGACCAGAGGUCUCACCUUAAAGGUAUCUGGUCCUUCGACCUCACCGUGACCCAGCUUCUUCAGGAGAACAUUCCAGAAGCAGAGCAAGGGGCUGCGAACGGUGUGCAAUGCUUCCUGAACCACCUCAUGGCCCUCCAUCCACUUCGUCUGGGUCAUGCUGGCUCUGCGGCCAUGGCAUUUCAGCGUCUCGUCUUCAUCUUCAUCCUAUUUGUAACCAUGGGGCACAUGCUGUAUUUUUUUUUUUUUAAUGCAAGAAAGUGUAAGAUUAGAAACGCCCAUGUUCAGAAGACAGCAAAGAAGGGAGCUUUAACCUGACAGAGAUGGAACAGAGGAGAUCAGAAAGAAUAGACAAUAAUGGCCACUCAUCCUGCUUCCAGUAUGAAGAUUCCCCUACAUCUAGCAUGGACAGAAGUGUUGACAGAGGGAGGAGUUUUGGCAGAACAACAGAAGUCAAGUACGGCAAUGGCAAAGAAAAAGCCAACUACUAAGCCUGUCUGUCUACCACAUUACUUUAUUGGCUUCCAAAUAAACCCAAUCCUAGGGGACAAAAGAUGUGAAUCCAUAUCAGAAGAGAGAGGCAGUUCUGGAUUCCUGAGGUAUUCAUUGAAGACUGAGUAAGUGUGGAGUUUCCAUCGUGGCUCAGUGGUAAUGAAUCCGACUAGUAUCCAUGAGGACCCAAAUUCGAUCUCUGCCCUCACUCAGUGGAUUAAGGAUCCAGUGUUGCUAUGAGCAGUGGUGUAAGGUUGCAGAUGCAGCUUGGAUCUUGCAUAGGCCAGCAGCUGCACCUCUUUAUUGGACUCCUGCAUGUGCUACAGGUGCAGCUCUAAAAAGCAAAACCAAAACCAAAAAAAGAGAGACUGAGUAGGUGGUCCCUGUGUCAACUGGAAAGUCAACCUCCUUACCCCCCACAGUCAAGGUCAGCCAAGGCCCCUUUAAUCUUCUUCUUUCAUGUGUGCAACCAUCAAGAAUGGGCCAGGACCCAGUGGUUCCCUUAGAUUCCUUUGAGACAUUGGGGGUAUUCCCCUUCCAGUGGCCCUCCUUAGGGCAGCUGCAUGCUGAUUGGCUUUGAGCCCUUCUGUUCACGUUAGGGGGUGGGGGUUGAAUGACCCUGAAUCACUGAGGCCAGAAUACUGGCAGAUCAGGCCGCUUGUCCAUCUUCCUUGGCAUCCACCUCCAGAUCCCAGUUGUUGAAUACUGGAAACACUAACUCCACCCCUGGGAAGUAGGUGUGGUGGGUUUUAUCUCCAACUUCUAUAAUUUUCUCCCAAUGUCUGGGGUGCUCUGGGAAGUGAAAUGGGACUUAAGAAUGGUCUGCCCUUCCACUGGCUCCAGGUGGCUCUUGUUCGUGUACACACAAAGGCACUCCCUUAGGCAUUCUAGGAAAGCCAAGGGGUUUCCUGCAGACCCUUGAUGACUCCCUAAACCCUACUCCAAUUUAUGGGUUUCUUCCCAGCCCACUGCAUGCCGUUAAGGAUCACAUCCCUGAAAUGUGUGAGAUGCUGCUGACCAUGUUCCUCUCAACGGUCCCAACCCAGGGUCCAGGUCAGGAACAGCCCAGAUUCAAGGCUGGCAUAGAGCAUGUCCUGCAUUAUUUUGAUUGGCCUUAUCAGCUUCCUCCCUGGCAACAGUCAGAACCAGUGCCUUUUCUUCCCCUGAGGAUAGGAUGUUCAGGAAGGUUUCUGCCCAAGUGGGGAAAGGAGUGUGGACUAUUCGCUGGAGUAAAUUAAGGACUUCCUGGAGGAUUUCCCUCAAACCCUUAGAUCCAUCCUUACAGUUGUAUAGGUUUGGGAGGAGAAGGGUUCAUACAGUGGGGGUCAGUCUGCCCUCUCCAUUGGGGAUCUCCCAAAAAGGGAAGAGCAUGUCGAUUCCAGGGGGCUGGUACUAAGUGCCACUUGAGGUUUGCUUUGGACUACUCCCUGAGGGAGGCACGCUGAGAGAUGAAGGGAGGGAAGUCAGGGAAGGGACCAGGGUACCAGGUAGGAUAGGGGUGAACUGGAGGGAGGAAAAAGUAUCAGGGAACUAGGGAAGGUUGGGGGGUAAAUGAGGUAGGAGUCUCUGGUGAACUGCCAAAAGGGAGCAGCUCCUCAUGGCAGAGGGAGGAAGUCAUGGGGCUCUUCAGGCUGAGGUUCCAAUCCAGGAGAGAGAAAUUGCAAAAAGCCUCAUGCUUUCAUGAAUAAUUGGACAUAGGGGAUCUCAACCCAUUUUCUUCAAAGGCUGGCAGUAGAGGUCCAGCUGAAAAAUGGACCUCUACUGCCUUUAUAUGUUGUUGGAUUCAGUUGGCUAAAAUUUUGUUGAGAAUUUUUGUGUCUGUAUUCAUCAAAAUAAUGGCCUAUAGUUUUCUUUUUUGGUAGUAUCUUUGUCUGAUUUUAGUAUUAGAGUGAUUGUAGUGUCAUAGAAUGUCUUUGGGAGUAUUCUUUCACCUUUUGGAAAAGUUUAAGGAGGAUGGGUCUAAGCUCUAUAGUUUUCUUUUGGUAGAAUUCACCUGUGAAGCCAUCUAGUCCUGAACUUUUAUUUGUAGGGAGUGUUUUUAUUACAUACUCAAUUUCAUUUCUAGUGUUUGGUCUAUUCAGUUGAUCUAUUUCUUCUUGAUUCAGUUUUUGUGGGCUGUACAUCUCUAGAAAGUUGUCCUCUUCUUCUAGGUUGUCAAAUUUGUUGCCAUAUAACUGUUCAUAGGGGUGCUGUAAAAGAGAAGAAGCUGUGUUAGUAAGUCGUUAUUUCCAGUUAUGGAGGAUGCAUCCUGGGACAGAGGCUUGGUUACCCCUAUGGGGUAUUUUUAGUUUGUUUCCAGCUUCCCAAUGGCCUCCUCCUAGGGUUGGUUGUGAUGCAGAUCCCAUAACAUCUAGGACACACCAAGUGGUCUAGGCACCCUCACUGAAACAUGAACCAAUCUUUAUGGGGGCUGUGAGGGGAAAUGCUAAGAGGGUCCGAGUUAUAAGGUCCCCUCUUAAGUCACUGAUUAGAUGUUCCCAGACCCACUGUGGGGCUUUGGAGAUACCUAGUAUAAGGGGGUGCAGUCCCUGGAGGUAGGGUGAAGGAGGGGGUGUGAAAUAGGGUUCUCUGGCCAAACAAAUGCCGGGAGAGCGUCUGUGGCAGUCGAGACUUGU
RNAcentral lists this long non-coding RNA (3322 nucleotides) under Sus scrofa (pig). RNAcentral describes it as "lncRNA (ENSSSCG00045035374.1)". The record is from RNAcentral. Lineage: Eukaryota; Metazoa; Chordata; Mammalia; Artiodactyla; Suidae.